This 487-nucleotide long non-coding RNA is filed under the name Androctonus crassicauda. The record is from RNAcentral. Lineage: Eukaryota; Metazoa; Arthropoda; Arachnida; Scorpiones; Buthidae.
GCCUAAUUCGUCAUACGCGUGGUUUCACAGUGACUGUAGUUCAGUCGUGUGCUCGUGAUAUCUCAAGCGUCUACGGACGCUCGGUACAGGUGCUAGGGUCUAUACAAGCGUCUACGGACGCUCGAGACUAUUGUCGGACAAAGUCCGAGAAAUUUACAGCGUCUACGGACGCUCGGUACAUGUGCUAGGAUAUAUAAAGGCGUCUACGGACGCUCGAGAAACUUCUACGGGAGUUUUCUCUUAAAACAAAUGCCUCAAAUUCGUCAUCUAAAAUUGUCGGACAAAGUCCGAGAAAUAUACGGCGUCUACGGACGCUCGAGAAACUUCUACGGGAGUUUUCUCUUAAAACAAAUGACUCGAACUCGUCAUCUAAAAUUGUAUGACAAAGUCAGAGAAAUAUACAGCGUCUACGGACGCUCGGUACAUGUGCUAGGAUAUAUAAAAGCGUCUACGGACGCUCGAGAAACUUCUACGGGAGUUUUCUCUU